This 72-nucleotide transfer RNA is filed under the name Desulfofundulus thermobenzoicus. RNAcentral describes it as "Desulfotomaculum thermobenzoicum tRNA". It matches the Rfam family "tRNA". Rfam says of the family: Transfer RNA (tRNA) molecules are approximately 80 nucleotides in length. Their secondary structure includes four short double-helical elements and three loops (D, anti-codon, and T loops). The record is from Rfam by way of RNAcentral. Lineage: Bacteria; Bacillati; Bacillota; Clostridia; Eubacteriales; Peptococcaceae. RNAcentral also lists the same sequence under 1 other name.
UCCCCGAUAGCUCAACGGUAGAGCAUCCGGCUGUUAACCGGAGGGUUGCAGGUUCGAAUCCUGCUCGGGGAG